ACUUACUGAGCCUUCAUAUUUAAGUGAGCUCCACCCUCAGCCUCCUCUUUUGCCAGAACCAGGAAGAACAGAACCAGGAAGGCCUGAUGCAGUAGACACGGUGCACUGGAUUCAGAUGAUAAACACAAACGUGACUGAAAUCUCCCAAAAGUGCAUGAGUGCUGACUAUUUCAAUCCAGUCCUGCUCAGAGCAACUUCCUCUGUUCCCGUUGGCUGCUGAACCCUUUACUUCUCCUCCUGAGGGAUCUUUUGUGUAGCCUGUUACUGUUGGUGCCGGCUGAGGGAGAAAAGGUACGCAUACUGAUGACAUCAUGAAAAGUGGCCAAAGGACUUAUAAAUUACCCUGAGAUGACAUCGCCACGUUGCUGGAAAGAAUCUCCAGAAGCAGAGCCGCUGCCCGAAACACCAGAUGGAAAACCACUGGGGAAGCCACUGUGGAAUCCAGAUCCAAAAGGACGAUAUCCGGACACCUCCUGCUCACCAGAUGGC
This is a long non-coding RNA of Lates calcarifer (barramundi perch), 489 nucleotides long. RefSeq lists it as uncharacterized. The transcript is spliced from 4 exons. The record is from RefSeq and is a predicted model, not a curated record. Lineage: Eukaryota; Metazoa; Chordata; Actinopteri; Centropomidae.